RNAcentral lists this non-coding RNA (814 nucleotides) under Fukomys damarensis (Damara mole-rat). RNAcentral's name for it is "Eukaryotic large subunit ribosomal RNA". The stretch from base 1 to 704 matches the Rfam family "Eukaryotic large subunit ribosomal RNA", at positions 721 to 1451 of the family's 3401-position model. Lineage: Eukaryota; Metazoa; Chordata; Mammalia; Rodentia; Bathyergidae. The record is from Rfam by way of RNAcentral.
GAAAUUGAAACUUAGUUUGAACUUUCAUAGUUAAAACAUUAUAGUUUUUGGAAUAGAAUUAAAUAUAAAAAAUAGUGGGAGAACGUUAGCUCCUAAAUAAGUUUAUGAGUGCAUUUAUAUUUGCAUUGAAUUCCUUAUAUGGGAGCUAUGCAUAAACCAAUACAAACCCAUGUGAAAUGGAUGCAUUAUUCAACAGAGGCAAAAGACUAAUCGAACCAUUUGGUAGUUGGUUCCUCCCAGGUUUUCUUCAGAAUAGCUGCUGUUCUUGCAGUCAUAUAGUUUCGUUCAGUAAAAGUAGAUGAGCACAGGUCUUGGGGAGGAAAACAGUCUCAGCCUUUCCCUAGGCUUUAAAUGGAUGAGAAGCCCAGCUUGCUGAUAUGGAGUAUGGUGUGGAAUGAGAGUGUGUAGUGUUCCACUUUGGCCAGCCCGAGGGAAGCUGUAAGAUGAACAAAAUGUCACUAGGAGUGCCUGAUGCAGAUACUCUUUAGAUCCCAGGAAAGACUAGUUGCCACAGACAGUGUGGUAGUGGCCACCAGAGUGGGAAUCUGCUAACCUGUGGGUGCCACCUAAUCCUGAAAAUGGAUGGCACUGGACUGUCAAACUCAUACCUGAUCCUGUAGUGCAGUAGUGGUGAACCUAUGGCACAGGUGCUGCAGCCAGCUGUUUGUUAUCAUUGAAAGCUCUAAAAGUGCUGUCACUGAUCUAGAGCCUUAGCAGCCUGGAUCCCUCUCAUGGAUGGUGAGCUAUGACAAGCAAGGCAGCUGCAGCAAAUCAUGAGGCCAAGAGCAUGGGACUAGGCGGAACUGUGUAGCUC